This is a small nucleolar RNA of Poecilia reticulata (guppy), 92 nucleotides long. NCBI's taxonomy places the organism in Eukaryota, Metazoa, Chordata, Actinopteri, Cyprinodontiformes, Poeciliidae. The record is from Ensembl.
GCAUGGCUGAAUUCUGCUCCAGCUGCGCUCUGUGCUGGACACAGUCAGACACCAUGCAACAGCCUCUUCUCAUUUCUGCCAAAGACAAAAAU